Molecule: RNase P RNA, 332 nt
Filed under: Gammaproteobacteria bacterium
Lineage: Bacteria; Pseudomonadati; Pseudomonadota; Gammaproteobacteria
Description: partial RNase P RNA component class A
Rfam family: Bacterial RNase P class A
About the family: Ribonuclease P (RNase P) is a ubiquitous endoribonuclease, found in archaea, bacteria and eukarya as well as chloroplasts and mitochondria. Its best characterised activity is the generation of mature 5'-ends of tRNAs by cleaving the 5'-leader elements of precursor-tRNAs. Cellular RNase Ps are ribonucleoproteins.
Source: RNAcentral
CAGCAAUGCAGAGGAAAGUCCGGGCUCCUUCGGACAGGGCGCCAGGUAACGCCUGGGGGGCGUGAGCCCAUGGAAAGUGCCACAGAAAAUAUACCGCCGACCCUGGGGUCGGUAAGGGUGAAAAGGUGCGGUAAGAGCGCACCGCGCGACUGGCAACAGCUCGCGGCACGGUAAACCCCGCCCGGAGCAAGACCAAAUAGGGGAGUAGGGGCUGUUUGCCCACCGUCGGUUCCGAACGGACUCCCGGGUAGGUUGCUCGAGGCAGCUGGCGACAGCUGUCCCAGAUGAAUGGUUGUCGAUGACAGAACCCGGCUUAUUGCCGGCUCCGGCUU